RNAcentral lists this ribosomal RNA (267 nucleotides) under uncultured bacterium. RNAcentral describes it as "partial 16S ribosomal RNA". It matches the Rfam family "Bacterial small subunit ribosomal RNA", at positions 333 to 597 of the family's 1533-position model. The record is from RNAcentral.
CAACACCUACGGGGGGCAGCAGUGAGGAAUAUUGGUCAAUGGUCGGGAGACUGAACCAGCCAAGCCGCGUGAGGGAUGAAGGUACAGAGUAUCGUAAACCUCUUUUGUCAGGGAACAAAGGCGGGGACGCGUCCCCGGAUGAGUGUACCUGAAGAAAAAGCAUCGGCUAACUCCGUGCCAGCAGCCGCGGUAAUACGGAGGAUGCGAGCGUUAUCCGGAUUUAUUGGGUUUAAAGGGGGCGCAGGCGGGCUGGUAAGUCAGGGGUCA